AGAGUUUGAUCCUGGCUCAGGAUGAACGCUAGCUACAGGCUUAACACAUGCAAGUCGAGGGGAAACGACAUCGAAAGCUUGCUUUUGAUGGGCGUCGACCGGCGCACGGGUGAGUAACGCGUGUCCAACCUGCCCACCACUUGGGGAUAACCUUGCGAAAGUAAGACUAAUACCCAAUGACGUCUCUAGAAGACAUCUGAAGGAGAUUAAAGAUUUAUCGGUGAUGGAUGGGGAUGCGUCUGAUUAGCUUGUUGGCGGGGUAACGGCCACCAAGGCGACGAUCAGUAGGGGUUCUGAGAGGAACGGUCCCCCANAUUGGAACUGAGACACGGUCCAAACUCCGUAACGGGAGGCA
RNAcentral lists this ribosomal RNA (355 nucleotides) under uncultured bacterium. Its description in RNAcentral is "bacterial SSU rRNA". It matches the Rfam family "Bacterial small subunit ribosomal RNA", at positions 8 to 350 of the family's 1533-position model. The record is from RNAcentral.